GACGAACGCUGGCGGCGUGCUUAACACAUGCAAGUCGAACGGAAAGGCCCUGCUUUUGUGGGGUGCUCGAGUGGCGAACGGGUGAGUAACACGUGUGUAACCUGCCCUUGACUUUGGGAUAACUUCAGGAAACUGGGGCUAAUACCGGAUAGGAGCUCCUGCUGCAUGGUGGGGGUUGGAAAGUUUCGGCGGUUGGGGAUGGACUCGCGGCUUAUCAGCUUGUUGGUGGGGUAGUGGCUUACCAAGGCUUUGACGGGUAGCCGGCCUGAGAGGGUGACCGGCCACAUUGGGACUGAGAUACGGCCCAGACUCCUACGGGAGGCAGCAGUGGGGAAUAUUGAACAAUGGGCGGAAGCCUGAUGCAGCAACGCCGCGUGCGGGAUGACGGCCUUCGGGUUGUAAACCGCUUUCGCCUGUGACGAAGCGUGAGUGACGGUAAUGGGUAAAGAAGCACCGGCUAACUACGUG
RNAcentral lists this ribosomal RNA (468 nucleotides) under uncultured bacterium. RNAcentral describes it as "partial 16S ribosomal RNA". It matches the Rfam family "Bacterial small subunit ribosomal RNA", at positions 28 to 507 of the family's 1533-position model. The record is from RNAcentral.